GUGAGGAAUAUUGGUCAAUGGGCGAGAGCCUGAACCAGCCAAGUCGCGUGAAGGAUGAAGGUUUUAUGAAUUGUAAACUUCUUUUGCAGGGGAAUAAAGUACGGUACGUGUACCGUUUUGUAUGUACUCUGCGAAUAAGGAUCGGCUAACUCCGUGCCAGCAGCCGCGGUAAUACGGAGGAUCCAAGCGUUAUCCGGAUUUAUUGGGUUUAAAGGGUGCGCAGGCGGGUUGAUAAGUCAGCGGUGAAAGUUUGCAGCUUAACUGUAAAAUUGCCGUUGAAACUGUCGAUCUUGAGUGCAAAUGAGGUAAGCGGAAUGUGUUGUGUAGCGGUGAAAUGCGUAGAUAUUGGGAAGAACACCGGUGGCGAAGGCGACUUGCUGGCCAGCAACUGACGCUGAGGCGCGAAAGCCAGGGGAGCAAACGGGAUUAGAUACCCCUGUAGUCC
RNAcentral lists this ribosomal RNA (445 nucleotides) under uncultured bacterium. RNAcentral describes it as "partial 16S ribosomal RNA". It matches the Rfam family "Bacterial small subunit ribosomal RNA", at positions 354 to 796 of the family's 1533-position model. The record is from RNAcentral.